This 168-nucleotide non-coding RNA is filed under the name bovine gut metagenome. Its description in RNAcentral is "malK-I RNA". It matches the Rfam family "malK-I RNA". The record is from RNAcentral.
UCCCGCGGCACUCCACUCUAUGUCGGGGAGGGGCAAAAAGAAAGGAGCAUACCGCUUUGUUCAGCGGUGCGGCAGUGUGGAGACCUGCCGUAAAGUCCGGCGGAUAUCGCUGCCGCCGGGCGAGACGGGGAGGCGGAGGCCGAACCGUUAUGAGCAAACAAGAUGGCA